CCUACGGGAGGCAGCAGUGGGGAAUUUUGGACAAUGGGCGCAAGCCUGAUCCAGCCAUGCCGCGUGUGGGAAGAAGGCCUUCGGGUUGUAAACCACUUUUGUCAGGGAAGAAACGGCCUUUACUAAUAUUAGGGGCUAAUGACGGUACCUGAAGAAUAAGCACCGGCUAACUACGUGCCAGCAGCCGCGGUAAUACGUAGGGUGCAAGCGUUAAUCGGAAUUACUGGGCGUAAAGCGUGCGCAGGCGGCUUUGCAAGACAGAUGUGAAAUCCCCGGGCUCAACCUGGGAACUGCAUUUGUGACUGCAUGGCUAGAGUACGGUAGAGGGGGAUGGAAUUCCGCGUGUAGCAGUGAAAUGCGUAGAUAUGCGGAGGAACACCGAUGGCGAAGGCAAUCCCCUGGACCUGUACUGACGCUCAUGCACGAAAGCGUGGGGAGCAAACAGGAUUAGAUACCCUGGUAGUCCACGCCCUAAACGAUGUCAACUGGUUNUUGGACGGCUUGCUGUUCAGUACGAAGCUAACGCGUGAAGUUGACCGCCUGGGGGAGGACGGUCGCGAGUUAGAAGUACGAAUUAGAAGUUGAGGCGNGAGAGNGCGACGGACGACGACGAGGGAGGAGG
Molecule: ribosomal RNA, 622 nt
Filed under: uncultured bacterium
Lineage: Bacteria
Description: bacterial SSU rRNA
Rfam family: Bacterial small subunit ribosomal RNA (bases 1-541)
Source: RNAcentral